Acanthosepion pharaonis is the source of this 109-nucleotide non-coding RNA. The record is from the annotation of a GenBank genome assembly. Lineage: Eukaryota; Metazoa; Mollusca; Cephalopoda; Sepiida; Sepiidae.
GGCCGCAUCACGCUGAAACACUGAUUCCCAUACGAACACUGAAAUUAAGCAACGUCCAGCCUGGUCAGUACCUAGAUGGGUGCCCGUUUGGAAAUACCAGGUGCGGUAA